RNAcentral lists this ribosomal RNA (486 nucleotides) under uncultured bacterium. Its description in RNAcentral is "bacterial SSU rRNA". It matches the Rfam family "Bacterial small subunit ribosomal RNA", at positions 30 to 506 of the family's 1533-position model. The record is from RNAcentral.
AUUGAACGCUGGCGGCAUGCCUAACACAUGCAAGUCGAACGGUAACGCAAGAAGCUUGCUUCUUGGCGACGAGUGGCGGACGGGUGAGUAAUGCUUAGGAAUCUGCCCAGUAGUGGGGGACAACCCGAGGAAACUCGGGCUAAUACCGCAUACGCCCUAUGGGGGAAAGUGGAGGAUCUUCGGACUUCACGCUAUUGGAUGAGCCUAAGUCGGAUUAGCUUGUUGGUGAGGUAAAAGCUCACCAAGGCGACGAUCCGUAGCUGGUCUGAGAGGACGAUCAGCCACACUGGGACUGAGACACGGCCCAGACUCCUACGGGAGGCAGCAGUGGGGAAUAUUGGACAAUGGGGGCAACCCUGAUCCAGCAAUGCCGCGUGUGUGAGAAGGCCUGCGGGUUGUAAAGCACUUUUCAGUAGAGAGAAAAGCUUACGGUUAAUACCCGUGAGUCUUGACGUAACCUACAGAAGAAGCACCGGCUAACUCCGU